UACCGAACCGCCGACACGAGUUGUUGCUGGCCCUCAAACGGGGGCAAGUGCACGCUCUGUUUGCACAUCCACUCACACCUGUGCACCUUCCCUGUAGUUCUGUGGCCUGAAGGUCCUCUGUCCUCUUGCUGCGGCUCUGCAUCUUUACACACGCACUGUAACAAAGUCUUAUGGAAUGUGAUGCCGCGUUUAACGCAAUACAAUACAACUUUCAGCAACGGAUCUCUUGGCUCUCGCAUCGAUGAAGAACGCAGCGAAAUGCGAUAAGUAAUGUGAAUUGCAGAAUUCAGUGAAUCAUCGAAUCUUUGAACGCACCUUGCGCCCUUUGGCUAUUCCGAAGGGCAUGCCUGUUUGAGUAUCAUGAACACCUCAACUCUCAUGGUUCGCCAUGAUGAGCUUGGACUUUGGAGGUCUUGCUGGCCUGUGGUCGGCUCCUCUCAAACAAAUCAGCUUGCCGGCGUUUGGUGGCAUCGCGGGUGUGAUAAAUAUCUACGCUUGCGGUUUCCGCCAGAUAACCUUUCAGCAAUGGAGGUUUCGCCGGAGCUUAUAAACGUCUCUCCUCGGUGAGGACGGUGCUCUGAACGUUUG
This 588-nucleotide unclassified non-coding RNA is filed under the name Thelephoraceae sp. 16 CG-2012. RNAcentral's name for it is "sequence contains ITS1, 5.8S rRNA gene, ITS2". The stretch from base 207 to 361 matches the Rfam family "5.8S ribosomal RNA". The record is from RNAcentral. Lineage: Eukaryota; Fungi; Basidiomycota; Agaricomycetes; Thelephorales; Thelephoraceae.